Non-coding RNA from Chelonoidis abingdonii (Abingdon island giant tortoise), 3557 nucleotides. Lineage: Eukaryota; Metazoa; Chordata; Testudines; Testudinidae. The record is from RefSeq and is a predicted model, not a curated record.
GUGAGGACCAGGCCUUAGUGUAGUUAGGGCCAAGCUAACACUGUCAAUGACAUUGCUGUUCUUCUCAGAAGUCAUUUCUGUCUGUGAUUAACUUGUUUCCAUUAGGUUAGUGACAGACAUCUCAUUUUUAUUCACAAUAUGCUAUUGAUAUACUAGGGUCUUUGCAUCUUUUCUGAGCAGCAAAAUCUUUUACAUGUGGAUAUCCCAUUAAAAUGGAAUUGUAUCCAAUGUGAGUGGUAGAUCUGGAGUAGACUAACUGUGUGGUGGAUUUGGAAGUAACUAAUGCCAGCACACUGCUACCAGGAUCCCUGCUUUCCUCCACCUCUUUUUUUUCCAUAAAAUAUUCAUCCUUGCAACCCUUGGAGUUGAAUUUUUAUUAUAACAGUUAUAAAAAUAUUAAGCUAAAAUAGAAACUUGUGAGUUCCUUUGUAGUUUUGUAUUAUGGAAUAGCUACAUAACCAAAUGGAAUCAAAUUGAUAAAGUGCAUAAACUGAAAUGUUGUUUACUUAUUUAUUUAUUCAUUCUAACUGAAUUAAGUGCUCAUGAAGUGACACAGCAAUAGCAGUGAUCUGAAACAGGUACAGUGCAGGCAGAUUUGUGCACACUUCCCUAAACAGCUCAGCAUCUCAGUUUUGCCAUGCAGAACCUCAUGCUGGAGAGGAGCUAGAAGAAUUAACAGCCAUUGUGUUACACUGCAAGAUAUGUACUUUUGUGGACAAGCAGGGACUAGAAUGCCAUUCUCACGAUCAAAACCCAGGUCUCCUGUCACCAACUCUUCCAAUAGCAUAUUAUUAAGAAAAAUAUCAGCUCCAGUAAGGCGUGUUUACUUGCUCUAUUUACACAUGACAAUAACAUCAUGGCAAGUACUCUGCAUAGGCAGCUGCCAGAAAAUCCACAUCCAGUAGCAGGAGCAGCACAGAGUGAAUGCUGACUAUAUUCUCCACCCACUCAAAGCCUACAGCCACCCCACUCUAUGGAUUUCCGAGAUAGGAACUGAGGAAGAAAAUUGUGGGGCAUGGACUAGGAAUAAAAAUGGGGUAAUGUGCAUAGUUGGGCCUGUUCUACUCCAAGGAAGUAUCCCUAAAGAUUCUAAUUAGUUUUAAAAUGGAUCCAUCAAAAUCUCUUUGGAUGAAAGUGCAGCGUAGUUUAGGCUCCUUAAACCAACCAUUUUUACCAAACCAGUUUCAAAAACUGCUGAAGGUAGUUUAGAAGUUGGUUCACUAAAACUGGUUCAAGCUGCCAGGAGCCUGGUUUGCACUAGAGCUUCAAGCAGUUUUAAAAUCAGUUAAGCUCAACAGAUUUUAAAAGUGGUUGGAAUUUUGGGGGAAACUGUUCCAGGAAAAACCAUACCUUUGCAUGCAUAUACUUGUGAUGUAGCUGUUUCUCCUUAUGUCCUCAUUUGUUCUCCUGACAGGAAUAAUGGGCAAGAGAGGGUUAGGCUGCUUUUAUAAAAUCCUGUUUUAGGACUCAUUUCACUCAGUUCCUGAAUUUGACUAGCUUUUCUGAAUAUUUUUAAAGAGCUAAACUGAUGAUGUUCUUAUCAAUUUCCUUUGCUCAAGAGUCUACUGAAUGAGCCACAAUGCUCUUUAAUGUGUAGCUGGAAUUAAAUUAUACUAACAUUUGAAUGGAUUAUCUGCCAAAAAUAUCUUUUCAGGAAAGCAGCAGAAAUGUAAUGACAUCCACAGGGGAAAAAAUGGUCCUCAGACAGUUUCACUGUGCUGUCUUACUGAAUUUAUUCUACAUAUGCACCAGGAAAGAAGUUCUGAGACAGAUCUGUAGGGUGGUUGUUUGCUUCUCCCAACCUGUUUUUUUGUUGUUGUUUUUUUUGCGGUCGGGGGCUUGUCUUAAAGCAAUUACAAUAAAGUAGACAGGUGCUGUAAAGUAGUUACAAAAUAAACCAGGAGUCCAAGUCCCAUUCUUCAUUAAAAUAUCCUUGAGAGAUUCCAUCUUUAGAAUGGGAGACAUGAUACAAGAGGUUAGAUGCAAAAAGCAUCAAUACAUCAAAUAUGACAUUCCCCUCAACCCCAUUCCAGAGCCUCAACUCAUAUAAAGUCAAAUACUCAGAUGAUCAAAGGCCAUCCUAAACUGGGCUAGCAGCACUGACCAAGGCAGGGCUUGAAAAAAUGUGUCAGACCCAUUAGCCAUAACACUAAAGCUUCUAGCCUAAGGUAGAAACAAAGGAGAAAGAAGAUGGGUCCAUAUCAGCAAUCUUCAGGGGAAAUUCCUUGGUGAGACAUUUCUAACCACUGUGUAGGGUGAGGGGAUUUCUGCCAGGAUUGUACUUGGACUCUGCUUGGGGAAUCUAGCUUUCACUUCAGCUUCUGGAAAUUAGAUAUCAGAAAAAUGUGAACCUUCAAUUGCCCCCCUCAAGCUUCUAGAAAUGAGAAGCGCUCUCUCUUUCUCCCUCUAUGUCCUCCCAGCUACUGUGAAGGUGAAAAGUCCUCUACUACCCAGCCUCCUGGCUGCUGAGGGAUGCAGGAGAGAAAAUGAAAGAUCUCUGCUACUUUACACCUUUCCGGUCUAGACCUUUACUUUGCAUUUUUUGUCAUUGUUCCUCUUGAAUGAUUCUAAUGCCACCUUCUACUAAUGCUCAUACUUUCCCCUAAGCACCAGCAGGAAAUGGUUUCAGUGCUGUAUAUAGGAUUCCAAAUAUUAAGAGUGAAACUGACCAGAGUUCUGUUGAUUUCAUUCUGCUGCCCAUAUCUUUGUGAGGCAGCAGCAACAAAGACACAAACUUUAUCUGCACACUCAGGAAGUCAGCCCUGCAUCUACUUAAAUCUUAAAUAGUAUCUUUGCAGUCAGAAAGAUUAGAAACAUAGGCUCCCACAUGCCUCAAGGAAGGUUUUCAACUCAAUGCUAGGUGAUUAGAUUUUUUUUAAACCUGGAAUAUUACAAUAUUUUUAGACUGUAAGCUCCUUAGAGCAGGGAUUGUUUCUCUAUUCUGUGGAAAGCUCUAUGUCUACCAUCAAUACUUAAAACAUAAUGAAAAAUAAAUACAAGCAAAGUUAGGCAUCUCAUACAAGUUCACAGAUGGUUUUGCUUACAAGUAAAUUGUAUACUGAACAAUAAAAAUUAUAGGCUAUAGCCAUUAACUCAUCAUUGUCUCAGAAUCUUGCACUAAGACUGGACAGCAAGGAUUAGCCAUCUGAUCAACAGAUGUCUCAUUUCCCCAAAUCCCUUAUCAAGAUUUAAGAGUCCCAGCCCCCUAUGCACACUGGCCCCCUGACAGUCAGUUUCCAGUAACAUUAAUCUACCUUUCUGCUCACCACAUGCCCCAAAAGGGUGCAGCUGUUAAAGCUCAUUACUUGAGCAGUGAAUCACAGGAAAGACUGCUAGAGGGGGCGUGAUAAAAGAAGGAGAAAGUACUUUCAUGUAUUACAGUAGAACCUCAGAGUUAUGAACACCUUGUUAAUGGAGGUUGUUCAUAACUCUGAAACGUUUAGUUCUGAACAAAACAUUAUAGUUGUUCUUUCAGAAAUUUACAACUAAGCAUUGACUUAAUACAGCUUUGAAACUUUAACAUGCAGAAGAAAGAUGCUUUUAACCAUCUUAAUUUA